Molecule: long non-coding RNA, 129 nt
Organism: Amblyraja radiata (thorny skate)
Lineage: Eukaryota; Metazoa; Chordata; Chondrichthyes; Rajiformes; Rajidae
Exons: 3
Source: RefSeq, a predicted model, not a curated record
UAUCUAAUUAAUCUGUUAUUUAUAAGGUUUCAAAUGAUGGGUAGAUUUUUAUUAAGAACAGUGUAUUGGUGUAAAAAACUGAAUAAUAAUCUUGUUCCUCAAAAUCUCUCCAGCAUUGUAAAAAGACAC